UGCCAGCCGCCGCGGUAAUACGGAGGGUGCAAGCGUUGUUCGGAAUUAUUGGGCGUAAAGCGCGUGUAGGCGGUUCGUUAAGUUUGAUGUGAAAGCCCGGGGCUCAACCCCGGAAGUGCAUUGGAAACUGGCGAACUUGAGUACGGGAGAGGAAAGUGGAAUUCCGAGUGUAGGGGUGAAAUGCGUAGAUAUACGGAAGAACACCUGUGGCGAAAGCGCAUCACUGGAUCUUUUCUGACGCUGAGGCACGAAAGCUAGGGUAGCGAACGGGAUUAGAUA
RNAcentral lists this ribosomal RNA (279 nucleotides) under uncultured bacterium. Its description in RNAcentral is "partial 16S ribosomal RNA". It matches the Rfam family "Bacterial small subunit ribosomal RNA", at positions 506 to 784 of the family's 1533-position model. The record is from RNAcentral.